This 211-nucleotide long non-coding RNA is filed under the name Elaeis guineensis (African oil palm). RNAcentral's name for it is "long non-coding RNA (EGUI_LNC049400)". Lineage: Eukaryota; Viridiplantae; Streptophyta; Magnoliopsida; Arecales; Arecaceae. The record is from RNAcentral.
GAGUUUUGUGCCGACUUCUCUCAUGCGUAUCUUGGCCAUCCGAACUUCAUUUGAGGUGAUCUUGAUCUUAUUGGACUCCAUUUUUCAUCACGGACCUCACUGUAGGCUCAAUGUAGAUCAAAUCUCAAGGUAUCAAAUCCUAACAAUCUCCAUCUCAACUUGAUAUUUGGCCUCCUCCUAACUCUGAGAGCUUUUGGAUCUCCUCGCCCCC